CCUACGGGAGGCAGCAGUGGGGAAUAUUGCUCAAUGGGGGAAACCCUGAUGCAGCGACGCCGCGUGAGUGAAGAAGUUUUUCGGUAUGUAAAGCUCUAUUAGUAGGGAAGAAAAUGACGGUACCUGAUUAAUACGCCCCGGCUAACUCCGUGCCAGCAGCCGCGGUAAUACGUAGGGGGCAAGCGUUAUCCGGAUUUACUGGGGGUAACGGGAGCGUAGGCGGGAGCACAAGUCCGGAGUGAAAUGCCGGGGCUUAACCCCGGAACUGCCUUUGAAACUGUGCAGCUAGAGUGUAGGAGAGGUAGGUGGAAUUCCUAGUGUAGCGGUGAAAUGCGUAGAUAUUAAGAGGAACACCAGUGGCGAAGGCGGCUUACUGGACUGUAACUGACGCUGAGGCACGAAAGCGUGGGGAGCAAACAGGAUUAGAUACCCGAGUAGUC
This 440-nucleotide ribosomal RNA is filed under the name uncultured bacterium. RNAcentral describes it as "partial 16S ribosomal RNA". It matches the Rfam family "Bacterial small subunit ribosomal RNA", at positions 338 to 795 of the family's 1533-position model. The record is from RNAcentral.